Molecule: ribosomal RNA, 460 nt
Filed under: uncultured beta proteobacterium
Lineage: Bacteria; Pseudomonadati; Pseudomonadota; Betaproteobacteria
Description: bacterial SSU rRNA
Rfam family: Bacterial small subunit ribosomal RNA
Source: RNAcentral
AGGAAAGCAGGGGAUCGCAAGACCUUGCGCUUUUGAAGCGGCCGAUGUCUGAUUAGCUAGUUGGUGAGGUAAAGGCUUACCAAGGCGUCGAUCAGUAGCUGGUCUGAGAGGACGACCAGCCACACUGGGACUGAGACACGGCCCAGACUCCUACGGGAGGCAGCAGUGGGGAAUUUUGGACAAUGGGGGAAACCCUGAUCCAGCCAUGCCGCGUGAGUGAAGAAGGCCUUCGGGUUGUAAAGCUCUUUCAGCCGGAACGAAACGGUCACAGCUAAUACCUGUGACUACUGACGGUACCGGAAGAAGAAGCACCGGCUAACUACGUGCCAGCAGCCGCGGUAAUACGUAGGGUGCGAGCGUUAAUCGGAAUUACUGGACGUAAAGCGUGCGCAGGCGGUUUUGUAAGUCAGAUGUGAAUCCCCGGGCUUAACCUGGGAACUGCGUUUGAAACUACAAGGCU